RNAcentral lists this long non-coding RNA (328 nucleotides) under Mytilus galloprovincialis (Mediterranean mussel). Lineage: Eukaryota; Metazoa; Mollusca; Bivalvia; Mytilida; Mytilidae. The record is from RNAcentral.
CGCCCAUAGUAUUAAUCAGCCAUAUUUUUUAUGUCAGGAAUCAAUGUAUAAUAUAAUCAUGACAAUGGACAGCAAUAUUGCAAUUUAAUAACAACAAAUUUUUGUUCGCAUAAAUUUAGGAUACCAGCGUGUCCUCCUUUUAUUCAAAAUAUUGAUACGUAACAAAAUUUCAGUAGUUUUAAUACCUCAUGCUGACUUGGAAAACAAAACUAGUUGACCAAAACUGAUCAUAUGUGCACUUUUAUUUACAAAUCUAUAUACCCGCAUACCAUUGUACCGAGCGCCUUCAUGUCUUCUCCUGGCGCUCCUGUUCACAUUUUAGUAGGAC